RNAcentral lists this ribosomal RNA (1047 nucleotides) under Aspergillus niger. Its description in RNAcentral is "partial large subunit ribosomal RNA". It matches the Rfam family "Eukaryotic large subunit ribosomal RNA", at positions 31 to 1093 of the family's 3401-position model. Lineage: Eukaryota; Fungi; Ascomycota; Eurotiomycetes; Eurotiales; Aspergillaceae. The record is from RNAcentral.
AACUUAAGCAUAUCAAUAAGCGGAGGAAAAGAAACCAACCGGGAUUGCCUCAGUAACGGCGAGUGAAGCGGCAAGAGCUCAAAUUUGAAAGCUGGCUCCUUCGGAGUCCGCAUUGUAAUUUGCAGAGGAUGCUUUGGGUGCGGCCCCCGUCUAAGUGCCCUGGAACGGGCCGUCAGAGAGGGUGAGAAUCCCGUCUUGGGCGGGGUGUCCGUGCCCGUGUAAAGCUCCUUCGACGAGUCGAGUUGUUUGGGAAUGCAGCUCUAAAUGGGUGGUAAAUUUCAUCUAAAGCUAAAUACUGGCCGGAGACCGAUAGCGCACAAGUAGAGUGAUCGAAAGAUGAAAAGCACUUUGAAAAGAGAGUUAAACAGCACGUGAAAUUGUUGAAAGGGAAGCGCUUGCGACCAGACUCGCCCGCGGGGUUCAGCCGGCAUUCGUGCCGGUGUACUUCCCCGUGGGCGGGCCAGCGUCGGUUUGGGCGGCCGGUCAAAGGCCCCUGGAAUGUAGUGCCCUCCGGGGCACCUUAUAGCCAGGGGUGCAAUGCGGCCAGCCUGGACCGAGGAACGCGCUUCGGCACGGACGCUGGCAUAAUGGUCGUAAACGACCCGUCUUGAAACACGGACCAAGGAGUCUAACAUCUACGCGAGUGUUCGGGUGUCAAACCCGUGCGCGCAGUGAAAGCGAACGGAGGUGGGAGCCCCCUUGCGGGGCGCACCAUCGACCGAUCCUGAUGUCUUCGGAUGGAUUUGAGUAAGAGCGUAGCUGUGGGGACCCGAAAGAUGGUGAACUAUGCCUGAAUAGGGCGAAGCCAGAGGAAACUCUGGUGGAGGCUCGCAGCGGUUCUGACGUGCAAAUCGAUCGUCAAAUUUGGGUAUAGGGGCGAAAGACUAAUCGAACCAUCUAGUAGCUGGUUCCUGCCGAAGUUUCCCUCAGGAUAGCAGUAACGCAAAAUCAGUUUUAUGAGGUAAAGCGAAUGAUUAGAGGCAUUGGGGUUGAAACAACCUUAACCUAUUCUCAAACUUUAAAUAUGUAAGAAGCCCUUGUUGCUUA